Molecule: long non-coding RNA, 363 nt
Filed under: Arabidopsis lyrata
Lineage: Eukaryota; Viridiplantae; Streptophyta; Magnoliopsida; Brassicales; Brassicaceae
Description: long non-coding RNA (ALYR_LNC000384)
Source: RNAcentral
AAGUGUGUUUUUAGAGUCUUUUAGUCGUUUAUCGAGUUUCUACAGGUUUUAGGUUGCUUCGGAGGAAAACGAGCUGUUUUGGGAUAUAAACACACAUUUGGAGAUGCAGUUUCGUUUAGAAGUGUCAGACGUUUUGCCUCAGAUGGAAUACUUUCCACCGUUAGAUCUUUCUGCAUUUUUUACACAAGUUAUAUGAAGAUGUUAGCUUGAGCUUACAAGUGGUUUGAAGGAAAUCUAACGGUGCAUUCAAGAUUUAUACCCGAAUUAGUGAAGACAGGUCAUUCUGCCGAGCAUUUGAAGCAGUUGCGGAGUUGGAGACCAGAAGAUCCAGAUCGAUCGAUCCACUUGUGGAUCGAUCGAUCC